Prosopis cineraria is the source of this 561-nucleotide long non-coding RNA. RefSeq lists it as uncharacterized. NCBI's taxonomy places the organism in Eukaryota, Viridiplantae, Streptophyta, Magnoliopsida, Fabales, Fabaceae. The record is from RefSeq and is a predicted model, not a curated record. The transcript has 3 exons.
AGAAAAGCAGAGCAUCCCCAUCUUUCACUUUACCGCCAUUACUUUCCUCUGGUUCUUUAUCAUCGGUCCUAUCCUCUGGCUUUUCUCGCAGCUUUCCUUUGCUUGCUAUCAACCUGUGCCUCUUCGCUACUGUUGGAUUCUUCGCUACUGUGGUUGGCCGCUGGAAAUGGUGAAGACGUUCGUUCUGCUGUCGUUGUUCUCUGCUGUUUCAGCCCAUUGGAUUGAAACUUCCCUUUUCCUCUUCAGUGUGGUUCGUGAGUUGAAGGGUGUUAGCUCCACUGCACUUUGGUGGAGAUUAUUGGAGAAUAAGUGAAUUUUGUUAGCCCUUGACGUGCCAUAGUACACCUGGCUAGUAGAGUGCUUAUGGGAGGUGCUAGCCCUAUGCGCAAGCCAACGCAUGUGGAACGGAAGGAUGAUUAUCCAUAGUAUAGUUGACUCUACGACUUCGGCAGAUCAUUGAGAGGCCCUUUUGCCUUUUUAAAAAAGCAGAGGCAUAUUGCGAUUAUUGUUUUAGUAAAACUAUGUAUUGUAUUUUGUAAUCAUAACUUAGUACUCCACGUA